Molecule: ribosomal RNA, 468 nt
Filed under: uncultured bacterium
Lineage: Bacteria
Description: partial 16S ribosomal RNA
Rfam family: Bacterial small subunit ribosomal RNA
Source: RNAcentral
GACGAACGCUGGCGGCGUGCUUAACACAUGCAAGUCGAACGGAAAGGCCCUGCUUUUGUGGGGUGCUCGAGUGGCGAACGGGUGAGUAACGCGUGAGUAACCUGCCCUUGACUUUGGGAUAACUUCAGGAAACUGGGGCUAAUACCGGAUAGGAGCUCCUGCUGCAUGGUGGGGGUUGGAAAGUUUCGGCGGUUGGGGAUGGACUCGCGGCUUAUCAGCUUGUUGGUGGGGUAGUGGCUUACCAAGGCUUUGACGGGUAGCCGGCCUGAGAGGGUGACCGGCCACAUUGGGACUGAGAUACGGCCCAGACUCCUACGGGAGGCAGCAGUGGGGAAUAUUGCACAAUGGGCGGAAGCCUGAAGCAGCAACGCCGCGUGCGGGAUGACGGCCUUCGGGUUGUAAACCGCUUUCGCCUGUGACGAAGCGUGAGUGACGGUAAUGGGUAAAGAAGCACCGGCUAACUACGUG